Long non-coding RNA from Balaenoptera acutorostrata (minke whale), 600 nucleotides. RefSeq lists it as uncharacterized. Lineage: Eukaryota; Metazoa; Chordata; Mammalia; Artiodactyla; Balaenopteridae. The transcript is spliced from 5 exons. The record is from RefSeq and is a predicted model, not a curated record.
CGGAAGAGCGCCGUAGGUGAGAUCGCCAGCUAGCCGGAGCCGGCAACGUACAGCCUGGCAGGUCGCGCAGCCGCUCCCGGGCCGGGGAAUGGAAGGCAGAUACCCUGAGGCAGUAUCGAGGUCGGGGAAAACUCAUUUUUCAUCCAAAACAAGUCUAUCUUGAUCUGGUGAUACUGCCGGGGCGGCUCCUCCGGACCCUGGCGCCUACGGGUCCAAAUACACCGAAAUCUGUACCGAAAAGAGAAAUCACUCUGAAGAUUACAGAGGCUUGAUAGAACUUGCCAGGUGUGUCCACAACUGCGGCAGGAGGGAGUCCAAACAGAAAACUCAGGGGGGCACUGAAGAGUGGCAAGUGGAAAGAAUCCCCCUUUGUCCAAACCUCUACUGUGGAUGUAGAAUGGAAUCUCCACCCAAGAAGGUGCAGCUGUUCAAUGUCAACCCUCCAGCCCUAGGGCCACAGUUACUGAGCCCGCGCUGCAGCCGCUGAAGCCCGUGGGCCUAGAGCCCGUGCUCCGCAACAAAGAGAAGCCACCGCAAUGAGAAGCCCGCGCCCUGCAACGAAGAGUAGCCCUUGCUCGCCACAAUUAGAGAAAGCCCGCG